Molecule: ribosomal RNA, 61 nt
Filed under: Hydnum repandum
Lineage: Eukaryota; Fungi; Basidiomycota; Agaricomycetes; Cantharellales; Hydnaceae
Description: partial 28S ribosomal RNA
Rfam family: Eukaryotic large subunit ribosomal RNA
Source: RNAcentral
UCUGACCUCGGAUCAGGUGGGACUACCCGCUGAACUUAAGCAUAUCAAUAAGCGGAGGAAA